AAAAGGAGAACAAGGGCCGCAGGGGUCCACCUCCCAUCACGAGACUAUCUGUAGCCUGUUGCUUCGGCGUGGCCACGGCCCGCCGGAGACUAACAUUUGAACGCUGUCUGAAGUUUGCAGUCUGAGUUUUUAGUUAAACAAUCGUUAAAACUUUCAACAACGGAUCUCUUGGUUCCGGCAUCGAUGAAGAACGCAGCGAAAUGCGAUAAUUAAUGUGAAUUGCAGAAUUCAGUGAAUCAUCGAGUCUUUGAACGCACAUUGCGCCCCCUGGUAUUCCGGGGGGCAUGCCUGUCCGAGCGUCAUUGCUGCCCUCAAGCACGGCUUGUGUGUUGGGCUUCCGUCCCUGGCAACGGGGACGGGCCCAAAAGGCAGUGGCGGCACCAUGUCUGGUCCUCGAGCGUAUGGGGCUUUGUCACCCGCUCCCGUAGGUCCAGCUGGCAGCUAGCCUCGCAACCAAUCUUUUUAACCAGGUUGACCUCGGAUCAGGUAGGGAUACCCGCUGAACUUAAGCAUAUCAAUAAGCGGAAGGAAAAGACAUAGGCGAGUGCGGGCCAACUAAAUCAAACACACAACAUGUCGAUCGGUACCUGUCUGCUUCAGUUUGGUCAGAUUCUCGCAAACUAACAUUUGAACGCUGUCAGAAGAUUGCAGUCUGUAGUUUUUAGUUAAACAAUCCGAAAUACUUUCCAAUGGCAAUCUUGGAUCCGCAUGAAUAAAGAAGCACGAAAGCGAUACUUAAUGUGAAUUGCACAAUUAGGCAAUCUCAGUCAUUAAAGCAAAUGGCCCUGGUAUUUCUGGGGGCAUGCUGUCAAUCCACUGGUUCCCAGGAGUCGGUGAUUUGGGCUUCUUCUAGCAACGAGAUCGCCGAAAUCACGGGUGACCUCUUGGAUCCCCAGGUAUGGGCUUGUACUAUCCGUAUACCCCUGUAAUACGAGAACUAUACAUAUACCGAU
RNAcentral lists this small RNA (953 nucleotides) under Aspergillus chevalieri. Its description in RNAcentral is "eukaryotic LSU rRNA". The stretch from base 149 to 302 matches the Rfam family "5.8S ribosomal RNA". Lineage: Eukaryota; Fungi; Ascomycota; Eurotiomycetes; Eurotiales; Aspergillaceae. The record is from RNAcentral.